AGAGUUUGAUCCUGGCUCAGGAUGAACGCUGGCGGCGUGCCUAACACAUGCAAGUCGAGCGAUCUUCUUCGGAAUAUAUCGGCGGACGAGGAGAUUAACGCGUGGACUAACCUGCCCUGUACGCACGGAUAACAUAUCUAAAGGUAUGCUACUACGAGAUAAUAUACUUUUAUCGCAUGGUAGAAGUAUCGGAGCUCUCGUUGUACAUGAUGGACCCGCUUCUGAUUAACUAGAUGGCGAGGCCAUGGCUCACCAUGGCGACGAUCCGUAUCCGACCUGAGAGGGUGAUCAGCCACAUUGAAACUGAGACCCGGCCCAUACUCCUACAGAAGGCAGCAGUAGUCAAUAUUGAAGAAUGGGCGAAAACCUGUUGCAGCUGCGCCGCGCGAUCAAUCAACGCCUUCGCGUCAUAGAGCUCUGUCCUCAAGGAAGAUACUGACUUGACUUGAGGAGAAAGCCCCGGCUAACUACGUGCCACCAGCCGCGGCUAUAUAUAUGGCGCUAGCGUUAUCCGUAAUUACUGGGCGAGCAUGGUGCGUAUGUGGUUUCUUAAGUCAGAGGUGAAACGCUACGGCUCAUCCGUAGUAAGCCUUUCAAACUUAGAUACUUGAUUGCAUGAGAGGAUACUGGAAUUCCUAGUGUAACAGUAUAAUGCAUAUAUAUUAGGAGGAACACCAUGUGCAAAUGCUGCUCUCUGGACUGUAGCUGACAGUGACGCUCUAGAGCGUGACUAGCACUCAGGAUUAGAUACCCUGGUAGUCCACGCCAUUAACUAUGAUUACUAGCUGUCCCAUGUUCCCCCUUCCGAGGUGCAGCUAACAUAUUACCUACUCCGCCUGGGAAGUACGCUCGCAAGAUUGAAACUCAGAUGAAUUGACGG
Molecule: ribosomal RNA, 880 nt
Filed under: uncultured bacterium
Lineage: Bacteria
Description: bacterial SSU rRNA
Rfam family: Bacterial small subunit ribosomal RNA
Source: RNAcentral